UGAGUAAUGCCUAGGAAUCUGCCUGGUAGUGGGGGACGAACGUCUCGAAAGGAACGCUAAUACCGCAUACGUCCUACGGGAGAAAGCAGGGACCUUCGGGCCUUGCGCUAUCAGAUGAGCCUAGGUCGGAUUAGCUAGUUGGUGAGGUAAUGGCUCACCAAGGCGACGAUCCGUAACUGGUCUGAGAGGAUGAUCAGUCACACUGGAACUGAGACACGGUCCAGACUCCUACGGGAGGCAGCAGCU
Molecule: ribosomal RNA, 246 nt
Filed under: uncultured Pseudomonas sp.
Lineage: Bacteria; Pseudomonadati; Pseudomonadota; Gammaproteobacteria; Pseudomonadales; Pseudomonadaceae
Description: partial 16S ribosomal RNA
Rfam family: Bacterial small subunit ribosomal RNA
Source: RNAcentral